This 378-nucleotide unclassified non-coding RNA is filed under the name plant metagenome. RNAcentral's name for it is "partial contains 5.8S ribosomal RNA, internal transcribed spacer 2, and large subunit ribosomal RNA". The stretch from base 1 to 105 matches the Rfam family "5.8S ribosomal RNA", at positions 50 to 154 of the family's 154-position model. The record is from RNAcentral.
GAAAUGCGAUAAGUAAUGUGAAUUGCAGAAUUCGGUGAAUCAUCGAAUCUUUGAACGCACCUUGCGCUCCUUGGUAUUCCUUGGAGCAUGCCUGUUUAAGUAUCAUGAAAUCUUCAAAGUAAAUCUUUUGUUAACUCAAUUGGUUUCUACUUUGGUAUUGGAGGUCUUUGCAGCUUCACACCUGCUCCUCUUUGUUCAUUAGCUGGAUCUCAGUGUUAUGCUUGGUUCCACUCGGCGUGAUAAGUUAUCUAUCGCUGAGGACACUGUAAAAGGUGGCCAAGGUAAAUGCAGAUGAACCGCUUCUAAUAGUCCAUUGACUUGGACAAUACUUUUAUGAUCUGAUCUCAAAUCAGGUAGGACUACCCGCUGAACUUAAGC